RNAcentral lists this ribosomal RNA (448 nucleotides) under uncultured bacterium. RNAcentral's name for it is "bacterial SSU rRNA". It matches the Rfam family "Bacterial small subunit ribosomal RNA", at positions 328 to 793 of the family's 1533-position model. The record is from RNAcentral.
UUCCCAGACUCCUACGGGAGGCAGCAGUGGGGGAUAUUGCACAAUGGGGGCAACCCUGAUGCAGCGACGCCGCGUGAGCGAUGGAGUACUUCGGUAUGUAAAGCUCUGUCAGCAGGGAAGAGAAUGACGGUACCUGACCAAGAAGCCCCGGCUAAAUACGUGCCAGCAGCCGCGGUAAUACGUAUGGGGCAAGCGUUAUCCGGAUUUACUGGGUGUAAAGGGCGUGCAGCCGGGCCGACAAGUCAGAUGUGAAAUCCGCGGGCUUAACCCGCGAACUGCAUUUGAAACUAUUGGUCUUGAGUACCGGAGAGGUCAUCGGAAUUCCUUGUGUAGCGGUGAAAUGCGUAGAUAUAAGGAAGAACACCAGUGGCGAAGGCGGAUGACUGGACGGCAACUGACGGUGAGGCGCGAAAGCGUGGGGAGCAAACAGGAUUAGAUACCCUGGUAA